CUCUUUCCAUUAUCAUCACUCACUCGCUCAUCAUAUCUUCCGCCCUAGCUCUGUGACUAUACUACCAAAUUAACUCAAUUUCUCUUCCUCUCUAGAUCCCUAAAAUUAGCCAUUAACAAUGGAGGCAAUGAAGAUGAAGCUAUUCAUAGCUGUUGUGCUGAUGAUGAUAAUGGCGGUUCAGAACGCGGCGGCAGCGACAGAGGCCCCUGCGCCAAGCCCUACUUCAGAUUCAUCUGUUUUUCUACCCACUGUUUUGGCUUCUCUUGUUCCCCUUGUAUUCACUUUUCUGUUCUAAUUGUUCGCCUCUUAGUUUAUGUUGGAUAUCUGGCUUUAUUUUCUCAUGCGGCCAUGCGGGUGGUGGGAUUUAUGUGUAUAGGGAUUUUUUUUGGCUCGGGAUUGAUUAUUUGAUGGAUUUGUUGGGAAAUUUGGGGAAUAUGAGAGAUUGAGAUGGAUUUGUUUGGGGGGAAAUUUCAUUUGUUAUAUUCUUUUAUAUUAAUAGAUUUUGUGGAUGUUUUCUUUAACAAAUUAAUUAAUAUUGUUUUCUUUAUGAUUCCUUUGUGUUGUGAUUUUAAUUUAGUUUGCCAAUUCAGGAUUGCACAAUGUUUAUAUUACAUUGUAUGAUUGUGGUGGAUUGGUCUUUUUAAUAAUUAAACUUAUUCAGUUCAUUCAGAUUGUUUAAACAUUCUGAAUUAUUUCAUUCAGUUUUAUCAAACAAUCCCUUAGUGUUGCAUUUGGAUCGAAGCAAUAAGAGUCAGAAUGAAAUGACUUAUUGUGACAGUGUAAAAAAUUGUGUUUGGUUGUAGCGGAAUUGAUCAUUCCUAUAAAAUAAAAAUAUAUUUAUUUUUUUUGAUAAUUUCAUUGAGAAGUGUAAUUUUGUCCCUAAAAAAUUGGCUUAGCUUGACUUUUUAAAUCAAAUUGACUAAUUUUAAAAUUAAGAAUUAAACAUAUUUAUUUAUUUUUUAAACUUAUGAAAAUUAAUUGCAAAAAUGAAAAGUUAAAAUUAAGUCAAUUUUUGUGUACAAAAGUAUUCGUUUGUUUUUCAAUGAAAUGAUGGGUAUCGAAACCCUGUCUGUCGAGUGUACCCUUGGGCCUGUGAAAUGUUUUGAUAUGGUCAAGCCCAAUUGACUGCUGGUCCAAUUGUGGAAAGAGAGGGCUCCUUCUAAUUGAUUAUCCUAUACUCCCCAUGGGUCUUGAAAUUAAAAAUGAAAUAAAUUCUCAUACCAUACAAUUAUCUUAAAUUUAUAAUUAAUACUUUUAAAAGCACUUUUCUAAUUAC
This 1276-nucleotide long non-coding RNA is filed under the name Panax ginseng (ginseng). RNAcentral's name for it is "long non-coding RNA (PGIN_LNC006134)". The record is from RNAcentral. Lineage: Eukaryota; Viridiplantae; Streptophyta; Magnoliopsida; Apiales; Araliaceae.